This 403-nucleotide ribosomal RNA is filed under the name uncultured bacterium. Its description in RNAcentral is "bacterial SSU rRNA". It matches the Rfam family "Bacterial small subunit ribosomal RNA", at positions 355 to 774 of the family's 1533-position model. The record is from RNAcentral.
UAGGGAAUAUUGGUUAAUGGGCGAAAGCCCGAACCAGCAACGCCGCGUGUGCGAUGAAGGCCUUCGGGUCGUAAAGCACUUUUAAAGAGGAAGAGGAAGGACGGUACUCUUUGAAUAAGCUUCGGCUAACUACGUGCCAGCAGCCGCGGUAACACGUAGGAAGCGAGCGUUAUCCGGAUUUACUGGGCGUAAAGCGCGUGUAGGCGGUCUGGUUAGUUGGAUGUGAAAGCUCCCGGCUUAACUGGGAGAGGUCGUUCAAUACUGCCAGACUAGAGAGUGGUAGAGGGAGAUGGAAUUCCGGGUGUAGUGGUGAAAUGCGUAGAUAUCCGGAGGAACACCAGUGGCGAAAGCGAUCUCCUGGACCAUUUCUGACGCUCAGACGCGAAAGCUAGGGUAGCAAACG